Molecule: ribosomal RNA, 253 nt
Filed under: uncultured bacterium
Lineage: Bacteria
Description: partial 16S ribosomal RNA
Rfam family: Bacterial small subunit ribosomal RNA
Source: RNAcentral
UACAGAGGGGGCAAGCGUUGUUCGGAAUUACUGGGCGUAAAGGGCGCGUAGGCGGCCUGCUAAGUCGAACGUGAAAUCCCCGAGCUCAACUCGGGAACUGCGUCCGAUACUGGCAGGCUUGAAUCCGGGAGAGGGAUGCGGAAUUCCAGGUGUAGCGGUGAAAUGCGUAGAUAUCUGGAGGAACACCGGUGGCGAAGGCGGCAUCCUGGACCGGCAUUGACGCUGAGGCGCGAAGGCCAGGGGAGCAAACGGG